This 104-nucleotide small nuclear RNA is filed under the name Lepisosteus oculatus (spotted gar). Its description in RNAcentral is "U2 spliceosomal RNA". It matches the Rfam family "U2 spliceosomal RNA", at positions 85 to 192 of the family's 192-position model. From Rfam's summary of the family: U2 is a small nuclear RNA (snRNA) component of the spliceosome (involved in pre-mRNA splicing). Complementary binding between U2 snRNA (in an area lying towards the 5' end but 3' to hairpin I) and the branchpoint sequence (BPS) of the intron results the bulging out of an unpaired adenosine, on the BPS, which initiates a nucleophilic attack at the intronic 5' splice site, thus starting the first of two transesterification reactions that mediate splicing. The record is from Rfam by way of RNAcentral. Lineage: Eukaryota; Metazoa; Chordata; Actinopteri; Semionotiformes; Lepisosteidae.
AUAUUAAACGGAUUUUUGGAACAGGGAGCUGGAUCAGGAGCUUGCUCCGUCCUCUCCACACAUCGGCCCGGUAUUGCAGCGCCUCCGGGAGCGGUGCACCACCU